This is a long non-coding RNA of Ananas comosus (pineapple), 957 nucleotides long. RefSeq lists it as uncharacterized. The transcript has 6 exons. NCBI's taxonomy places the organism in Eukaryota, Viridiplantae, Streptophyta, Magnoliopsida, Poales, Bromeliaceae. The record is from RefSeq and is a predicted model, not a curated record.
GCGCCCUUUUCUCCCUCCUCGCUCCGACGUUUUGGCGCGAAAUCUCAUGCCUAGGGUUCGGAUCUCAAUCCCCAGCAAUGGAGACCCCUUUCGCUCGAUCCCUUCUCCGUCUCCGCCUCCGCCAUGGAUCGGGAGAGAGGCGACGCUCCUCCCUACGAAGGCGCGCAUUUUCUAGGAGACUAAGCCAUCACCAUAAUGAGCAAACAAAAUUUGGUGUGUUUUCCUUGAUAUUUUGGACAUUCACUUUGCUUCCCUUGCUCAAGUACGUUAUCAUUGUAUCGAGCGCUGACGAUAACCUAGAAGGCAUGCCAGGUUCAGUUUACUUCCUAACCAGCAAGCAGCUGAUGAGGAACUUUCAUCGUAUUACAGACCGGGAUACACAAUUCGGAAUACUAUGUCCUCUGCAUUGAGACGGCUCUUUGAAAAGCAUAGGCGAGGCUGCACUAGUUGUCUGCAUAGUGCUGCUUCGCCUCUUUGCUUCGCAGCACAGGGGCACUCAGAGAGUUGCCUUCCUGUUUCAACCUGUUGUUAUCAUUUGGCUCUUGCGUACCGGCGUAAUCAGCCUGUACAACAUCAUUUACUGGAACCCCGACACGUAUUUGUGCUCUCUCUCCAUAUUACAUGAUUAAAUUCUUUACAAGGACCGGGACAGACGGAUGGAUAUCUCUCGGCGGAGUACUUCUUUCUAUGACAGGUACAGAAGCUAUUUUCGCAGAUCUUGGCCUCUUCACUGUUGCAUCCAUCAGGUCGAAAAAGGAUGGCCCAGAUCUCUGUAUACCUGAAAUCAACAGGAUCCUCAUGCUUCUUUGCAUGGCAAGGCGAUUUCAGUUUGCUGUUUGUCUGCUGUCGAUUUCUUUACAUGCAGAAAGUUGUGUUAGUUCUUGUUUUUUUUUUUUUAAGUUCACCAGUCUUCCAAACUGCAAUUCUGGCCGAGUCGAAGAUUGUCAACACGGCAGC